ACAGUGGAGCUGAAGCACAUUAACAGUUGUUAUUCAGUGAACUGAAAGAUUGUUUAGCUGAAAGCAUAAUUGUGAAUGAGAAGCUUGAGCGGUCAUACGUGAGGCAUAUUUAUAUUAGAGAGAUUAAAAAACACAGAAAGUUACACAGUUCUCCUUCAUCCCAUCGACCACGAAUAACCGCUCCAUUUCCUCCUGUUCGUUUCUUUUGCAUGUGUAAUCAUUUUCCUUUUGUUUCAAGAAAACUCAGAGCAUGGUAUGUACACUCUCUUGUGCUGCGCUGUUUUUUAUUAAUUUAGUAGUAUGUCAUGAGAGCAUCUUCA
Molecule: long non-coding RNA, 320 nt
Filed under: Bos taurus (domestic cattle)
Lineage: Eukaryota; Metazoa; Chordata; Mammalia; Artiodactyla; Bovidae
Description: long non-coding RNA NONBTAT016544
Source: RNAcentral